Molecule: ribosomal RNA, 506 nt
Filed under: uncultured bacterium
Lineage: Bacteria
Description: partial 16S ribosomal RNA
Rfam family: Bacterial small subunit ribosomal RNA
Source: RNAcentral
AGUGAACGCUGGCGGUAGGCCUAACACAUGCAAGUCGAACGGCAGCACAGGAGAGCUUGCUCUCUGGGUGGCGAGUGGCGGACGGGUGAGGAAUACAUCGGAAUCUACUUUUUCGUGGGGGAUAACGUAGGGAAACUUACGCUAAUACCGCAUACGACCUACGGGUGAAAGCAGGGGAUCUUCGGACCUUGCGCGAUUGAAUGAGCCGAUGGCGGAUUAGCUAGUUGGCGGGGUAAAGGCCCACCAAGGCGACGAUCCGUAGCCGGUCUGAGAGGAUGAUCAGCCACACUAGAACUGAGACACGGUCCAGACUCCUACGGGAGGCAGCAGUGGGGAAUAUUGGACAAUGGGCGCAAGCCUGAUCCAGCCAUACCGCGUGGGUGAAGAAGGCCUUCGGGUUGUAAAGCCCUUUUGUUGGGAAAGAAAUCCAGCUGGUUAAUACCCGGUUGGGAUGACGGUACCCAAAGAAUAAGCACCGGCUAACUUCGUGCCAGCCGCCGCGGUAA